Ooceraea biroi (clonal raider ant) is the source of this 2711-nucleotide long non-coding RNA. RefSeq lists it as uncharacterized. The record is from RefSeq and is a predicted model, not a curated record. Lineage: Eukaryota; Metazoa; Arthropoda; Insecta; Hymenoptera; Formicidae.
UAUGAAGGCAGUCUUAUAGCGAUCCGAUCCUAACCAACGGCGUGAAUGUUCUAAACAACCACAACUAGAACGACAAUAUUAGGUCUGUUCUUUUUAGCUGCACUGCUGAACUGGUGCAAUAAGUUAGAGUGAGAAAAAAUAUACUUGUCUCACUUUAACGUAUUGCACUAGUUCAGCAGUGCAGCUAAAAAGAACAGACCUAUUGAACGCACAUACGUUGCUCCGCACUUUGUUUAAAUGCGUUUCAUUUUUGGUUACUCAACAGACCUUUAGAAUAUCUUUGGAGAUAUUAGGUAAAGAGAUAACUAAUCAUAAAAGGGUAUGUAAUUGAAUUAAUAAUAUACUUUUCUACAUUACAUUUUAGCAUUUUAUUUUAUUGCUAUAAUAUAAAAAUCUGUCGAUAAUUGUGGAAAGUUUUUUUUAUGUAUAAAUACAUUAGUACAUAACUUAACCUAAAAUUUUUUUGUGCAUUGUUAAAUGAUAUUUUCUUGCUGUUCUAUCACUUGCAUUGUGAAUCUGUGUAUCCAUUAGAAUUACAAUAGUGUGAGACUCCGUCCCGUAGGAUAGAUAAUAAUUUUAUAUGAAUUUAAAACAAAGUUGUCUGCAAUGGAUAGUAAAAUUGACAACUCUCUUAUACAUCACGAUGUCAAAAUGUUCUUUUUCUUAUUUUAUCACAGAUAAUAAGGUUGUACACUAAUACUGUAUGAUUAUAGAAAGUCUAUUCUGCAAAAAAAUGAAUAAAAAAAAAUUUGCUAUUAUUUUAUCAAAUAAUAAUCAAUAUGAAAUUUGCAAAUGUACUGAUCUUAAGAAGUCUAAUAAUCAACAAUUAUCACGAAAAAAGCAUCAUAAAUAUUUAUUCAUCAAAAAGUGCAAUAAGGAGAUUGUGCAACUUAUAUGUAUUCAUUGUAAUUACUAAAUUUGAAAUAAGUUAGUACAAAACCUGAAAUGUGAUAUCCCACGAGUAAAACUCGACGAUAUUAAAAACGAGUCACACAAAUUUACUUCUUCGAAAAAUAUUGAAAAAUCUAAUGAUGGUAUACAAACUUAUAUUUUAACUGAUGUAUCAGAAACGCAACUUGAUUCAUCGGCUUGUAUUACAAGUUCUAUUAAUGUAUCGGAUACAUCACAAAGUGUAAAAUUAAAAAUUAGAAAUUAGUGAACUAAAAGUUUAAUUUUAUGAUGUUAAUAAUCUGUUAAAAAAAAUAUUUUCAAACUUUCAAUUUGUUAAGCAAAUUGUAAUAUUUCUAUUCUAAUUAUUUUAUAUGCAGGGCACUAAAAACACAAACCUGAAUAACGCUUUUAGUAAUAAUAGAAGAAAAUGUUUCAAACGAAACUUCUUUGGCUUCAUACAUAGUGGCUAUUGCAAGUGUUCAAAAUGAUGAUCUUGAGCAUUGAUGCAUGCUCUAAAGCAGUUAGCUAUGGAAAAAAUAUUGCAUUUCGAAUUUUAUUUGUAUCUAUUGUAAAACAUGCUCUUUUCUUUUUCGUUGGACUGGUCGGUUUGGAAUACAAAAAUGUCCUUUUUCGGUCACCGAUUUUAAUAUCCUUGGAUUGUUAUUUAUGAGGAAAAUUAAAACAACAGAUAUACCAGAUUCUGUACAGUUGGUAACAUGCUACCGCAUGCAGGUAUAGUGAAGAACCAACAUUUAAGGAAAAUCGGAAAGAACGUAUAAGAAAAGUAUGUUCUAUAGAUACAAAUGAAUAUGUACAAAUGAAGUUCGAAAUGCAAUUUUCCCAUAAUUAAUUACUUUAGAGCAUGCAUCGAUGCUCAAGAUCAUCAUUUUGAACACUUGCAAUAACACCGCGUAUCUGAAAUAAUAAGUUAAGGAAGUAUGUGAUCCCUUCGUUAAAAUAAAUUAUUUUUCUUUGUAACUGACUUUGAUUGACCUUAAAUCAUACAUUAUCGUACGCGUCUUAAAAUGCUCUAUUAAGAGAUAAAUGAGAAAAUAUAUCAUUCCAUUUAAACAAAAGUUGAUGACCUUGAAAUGUUGUUGUCCCUCCAACUUACGAUCACGUCAUUUUUGAAUGUCUCUCUUGAAGCCAAACAAGUUUCAUUUAAAACAUUUUCUUCUCUUAUUAAGAAUAAAAUUCAGGUGGUCUGUUUUAAAUGUCCUACCGUGUAUAUUACUUAUAUCAUAAUUAUGUUAAAUAUUCAUAAAUAAUAAAACGAUAACCGAAACUUGUAUCUUAAAUAAUGACUGUGACACUUUAUAUUGAUGUAUAUAACUUAUUAUUUUCAAAGAUUCUUAAAAAAUUAAUAUUGUAGAAAUAAUUCUAAUAUUAUCAUUAUAUCCAUUUAAUUACUGUUUUAUGUACAGAAUAUAAUACUACAGAUGGGAGAACGUUGGAUAAAUCUCAUUGUCAGACUCCUUUAAAAAGCUAUAGUAUUGUUCAGAGCUCCUCUACAAAAUGCAUUUUGAGAUCACAGAGCAGUGCUCCAAGAGUAUCGUAUUAUACGAAUAGCAACAAUUCUUUAAUGAGAAAUACAAUUCUACAAGAUGAUGGUAAAUUAUUAAUCAAAUAAUAAUAAUUUCUUUGUACUUUUUGUACCUUAUAAAAGCAUUUAAUUAUUAACUGUUUCAAGUUUAUUUUAGAAGAUUAUAAUUCGACAGUAUUUGAGAUAGAAUUCUAUUUAUACUUUUAUGCGCCAUGUAAUACAGAUACUAUUUAAAACAUCAGAAUACACACAUGUACAAAAUAAAGUGACAUAUACA